Molecule: ribosomal RNA, 253 nt
Filed under: uncultured bacterium
Lineage: Bacteria
Description: partial 16S ribosomal RNA
Rfam family: Bacterial small subunit ribosomal RNA
Source: RNAcentral
UACGGAGGAUCCAAGCGUUGUCCGGAUUUAUUGGGUUUAAAGGGUGCGUAGGUGGUUUAUUAAGUCAGUGGUGAAAGUUUGCGGCUUAACCGUAAAAUUGCCAUUGAAACUGAUAGACUUGAGUGUAGUUGAGGUAGCUGGAAUGUGUCAUGUAGCGGUGAAAUGCUUAGAUAUGAUACAGAACACCGAUUGCGAAGGCAGGUUACUAAACUAUAACUGACACUGAGGCACGAAAGCAUGGGGAUCAAACAGG